This 7451-nucleotide long non-coding RNA is filed under the name Podarcis lilfordi (Lilford's wall lizard). The record is from RNAcentral. Lineage: Eukaryota; Metazoa; Chordata; Lepidosauria; Squamata; Lacertidae.
CUGUAGCUCAUAACUCUUUGGUGGAGCACAUGCUCUGCAUGCAGAAGUUCAAUUCCAUAUGGCAGUGAUGGCGAACCUUUUAGAGACCGGGUGCCCAAACUGCAACCCCAAACACACUUAUUUAUCGCAAAGUGCCAACACGGCAAUUUAACCUGAAUACUGAGGUUUUAGUUUAGAAGGGAAGAGUGGCGCAUCUGUGUGGAGAGAGAGUGGAGCAUACAGUGGUGCCUCAGUUUUCGAACAGCUUAGUUCUCAAACUCAAACUACUUGGAACCCGAACACUUCAAACCCGGAAAUGAGUGUUCUGGUUUUCAAACCUUUUUCGGAAGCGGAACAUGCUCUGUUCUGAGUAUAACUUCCACUCUGAGUGCCACACUUCUGUUAUGAGAGUGAGGGAAGGCGGGCUGGGCGGCAAGCAAGUAGGCCUCUGCCACCCUCCAGCGCUGGGUCCCUCCGCCACCGCCGCCACAACAUCAACUACCCCCUCCAACUCCUGCAGCCCCGGUGCUGAGGGAAGGCUGGACCGGGGCGGCAAGCGAGCAGACAAGGGAUGUUGGUGCCACACCCCCUCCAGCCUGCUCCUGCUUGCAGGCAAGUGCAAGUGGGAUCAGGCUGCUCUGCUAAGGAGCGUUGCUGCUUGCACGGGAACAGGAGCUGGAUCGGGGCUGCUCAGCUGGGGAGGUGCAGGCUCCAUCACACUUUCCAUUGAGGGGUUUGUGGCUGCACUCCCCUCAAGGGAGUCGUCUAACGAGCUCCCACCUCCGCAUCAGAUCCUCUGCAACCUGAAGGCAGCCAGGCUAAUAGUUGCUGAGGUUGGGGAAGGUGGAGGCAGCCCAAAAGCUGCAUCUGAGAGCCCCAGCACUACCUGAAGGCAGCAAAGUGCUCCUAAGCUGAAACUGCCACCCCCCUCGCAUGGGGUUCAAUGGGUUCGCCACCACUGGUAUAGCCUUUCUUUGGGCAUGGUUCUGAAAGAAAUUAAAGUGUGAGGUUUAAAUUAUAUGAAUAUGAAUGCUAAAUAAAUGCAUAUUGAGAAAUUACAAUGCUCUAUUUUGCAUACAAUAUAUUGUUACGUCCUUGCCAACACGUUACAGAAAGCAAAUGUCAGAAAAAAACCACAUGAAGGCAAAAGAGCAGAAAUCAAGUGUGUUUGGUUACAUAAAUUCCAACCUUUGAAAAAGCAACAGAUAUGAUCCCCUCUUUAAAAAUAGCAAUUACUGGGGACAAGGAAGGGCAGAAAAAGCCACCUCCACAAAGAUAGGCAGAAAUGGACCCCAACCGAAAUAUACGGGUACCAGCCAUUCAACAAGAACAAUUUUGACACUUCAGUCUCAGCACUAUAUGAACUUGAAAUAGUUCUGCCUGAAUGUUUGGUAGUGAAAAUGAGGGCUAAGAUUUGGGAGAAAACAACAGUCAUCUUUAGAAAUGUUUCCUUUGUUGCAGGGCUGAAUGAUUACAGGUUCAUUUAUGAGAAAAUUCCCAAUUUAUUUUCCAGUGAUUUACUACAGAGAAAAUCAAAGUUGUUUGUAAAUGCUAAAGCAAGGCCACAUUUUUCCAAGUGAAUAUUUCAUAUACAAACGAAUUUUUAAAAAGAUGAGAAAAGGCUACAAUACUAUUUGAGGUGUUCUUUGUCCAUUAAACUACAGAUACAGCAUUUGUUGGGUUUCAUAACUCCUCUUCAAAGUGGAUAACGCUUAAUUUUCACAUUCUUUGGGUGCAGGAGCUUUUGCCAAGGGAUUUCUUAAGUGCUAUUUGAACAUCUUUGUUUCUCAGGCUGUACACCAAGGGGUUCAACAAGGGAGUCACCAUUGUGUAAGAGACAGAAAUAAAAGUAGUCUCAUCUAGCGUGUAACUAGAUUUGGGCCUUAAAUAGAUAAUGGAAGCACAACCAAAGUGCACUACGACCACGAUAAGAUGGGAGGCACAAGUGGAAAAGGCUUUACGCUUCCCAGCCGUUGUGGGGAUUUUCAAGACAGUGUUUGCAAUUAAAAUGUACGAGAGAAGGAUGAACAGGAAUGAACAAAUUACAACCAAAAAAGAAAUAAGGGUAAUGACAAUUUCCCCGAUGUAGUUUCGGCCACAGGCUAAUUCAAGCAAAGGUGAUAAAUCACAAAAGAAGUGCUUAAGUUUAUUUGGUCCACAGAAAGGCAAGGUAAAUAUGAUUAUAGUCUCUGAGGUGGAAAAAAGAAAUCCAGUUGUUGCUGAACAAGCCACCAGUUUGGUGCAGAGUCUUUGAUUCAUCAGAAUCUGAUAACGUAAAGGUUUGCAUAUGGAGACAUAUCGGUCAUACCCCAUCACUGCUAGAAGCAUACAAUUUGUACACCCAAAGCCCAGGAACAGGAACAUCUGAGUAACACAGCCAAUGAAGGAAAUGGUCUUCUUUUCUCUUAGAAGAUUUGCAAGCAUAUUGGGGAUAAUGACAAGUGAGUAGCAGAUUUCUGAGAAUGAGAGGAUGGAGAGGAAGAAGUACAUGGGGAUGUGGAGGCUGCGGUUAAGCCGUAUCGUAGUGAUGAUGAUUAUAUUUCCCAUCAAAGUUACCAGGUACAUAAGAGAGAACACCAGAAACAACAUAACCUGCAGGUCUGGGAAAUUCGAAAACCCAACAAGGAUAAAUUCUGUCACUAUUGUUUGAUUUUUUCUUCCCAUUGAUGUAGAAUCUGAAAAUGAACUUUAAAGAUGUUACAGAUUGCAACAGUGCUCGUCAGCUGAUGUUUAAUACAAAAAUACUGGGGCAGAGGCUUGUUCAUAAAAUGAUUAUUUAUUUUUUGUUCUUUAUUAAAUUUAUGUACUGCCCUUCAGCUGACUAUCACAGGCCACUUUACAACAUAGAAACACAAAAUGCAUAAUGUGACCGUAAAAAUGCAAUAGCAAUAACAAACCAUUUGAUGUGCCUUAAACAUCACUCCAUACAGCUGCCUGAGAAAAGGCCGCCUCCAUUUGCCCAAUGGUAGAACCGGCCUCAGUAGACCGAACCUAGCACAACAGUUGUGCAACCAGCAAAAUAAUUGUGUCACCCCUUAGACCUUUUAUGACAUUCACUUUACUAACACGUCUACACUGCAGAGUUGAAUGUCUGAUAUCUCCCUUUCGAGGAAUCCUGGGAAUGUCUGCUCCCAACUUAGUGAGGCAAUAGAGCCAGUUUACAAAACUGUAUUUUCCAUCGAACUAAAAUUUUAGCAAUCAAACAACAUCUUGGCAUAGCUCAUCACCAUAGAUUACAAUUCUGUAUUCUUAUAAUUGAUGGAAUUCCACUGUGAAUGAAUGUCUGGCUACAGCCCACAAACUGAUGAAGGAGCACAGAGGCAAGUGAGCUGAAGAGUUUAAGGCUUCACAAUAUUCCUGUCAAUUGAAAAAUUAACAGCAUCACAAGGCAUAACUCUGAACACCACUAGAAUAUUUUAUUGAGGAGCAUGCCUAUCUUAACCUGCCUUUUAAACAGUCAUGCAGUCAGUGUCUAUUCCAAAUUGUAGCACCUCUGCAGCGUCUCAGGUUGCAGUCUUCACAAGUCCUGCUAAGCUACCUCAUACUCCUUCAGGAAAAUAUUGGAUCUGGAGCGUUGUGCAAGAAAAACAGUAACUCUGCCAUUGAGUAUGAAUCUUGUGGCCAAGAUAAAAAAGAGUCAGGUGCUUUGAAAUUUUUCUUAUUUACCUUUAAAGUGGUAUAGACAAGAGCAUGGGUAGGCAGACUAAGGCCCAGGGGCCAGAUCCAGCCCAAUUGCCUUCUAAAUCUGGCCCUUAGACAGUCUGGGAAUCAGCAUCUUUUUACAGGAGCAGAAUGUAUGCUUUUAUUUAAAAUGCAUCUCUGGAUUAUAUGUGCGGCAUAGGAAUUCGUUCAUCCCCUCCCCCCCAAAAAAUAUAGUCCGGCCCACCACAAGGUCUGAUGGACAGUGGACUGACCCCCUGCUGAAAAUGAUUGCUGAUCCCUGGACAAGAGCAUCUGAAGGGCUGAAUGAAAGAAUUCAAAUCAAAGCUUCAGAACCUCAAACAACAAUAGACUUACAAGGAAGCACGAUGGAUGUUGAGCUCUUCCAAAUGACAGCAGUUUGCCACAAUAUCCCUUUUAUGAUGUUUCUACUGAGCAUGGAACAAUGUAAACAUGAUUAUAAAUCCCACCAGAUAUUAUCUCCACGGUAUUUCAAAACAUAAAAUAAACCAACCAUUUUAUUAUCAAUGGGAGUUGUUAAAAUCUACAAGAAAUUAUUAACAAUACAUGUAAUUUUAUUGGGUGCAUUUUUUCCUAAAAAUCUUUACUUCAUCUCUAUAUCGCUACAUUUUAUUAUGCCUACUUGUUUUCCAUUUUAUCUUUUAUCAUGAUGCAUAUUACAGAUUGUUUCGGUCUUUCUGAUUAAGUGGUUUGUGAAUAUUGUUUAAUAGAUGAAAAUAGCGUACAGGACAAAUGGCUCUGGGGUAAGCCACACCCAUCGUCAAAAAGGCAGGGAAAGUUCCAUCUCAUGAAAUCUAACAUCUCACAAGGGUACUGAAGACAUCAGGGUUCAAGGAGAUGAGCGUAAACUGACUAUUUUCACAGAUUAUAUAUUACUGAUGCUCCACAAUCCAAGCUAAGCCCCUUUUCCUUUGCAGAGGGUACUAAAUAAUUUCAUGGCAGUAUCUGCAUUCUCAAUGACUUCUGGACCCAGGUGUUCAAUCUAAUUCCAAUUAUUGUGGGUCAACCCUUGGCAAUGGAUCCAGAUUUGGCAUUACUUUCUCUAGAAAGCAAUACAACCCAACCAUUGACCACUAUCCUCUUGUAUUUAUGUUCUAAGCAGCAGCUAAAAUCUCCAUUGCUAGUCACUGGAAAUCCAGAUCCCCAUCCCGUGAUCAUUGGUUAAGGAAAGUUAUGGGACAUUGCGCUUUCUGAACAUCUAACAUGUCAGAGAGGGCUUAGCGGCAGGGAGACGAAAACAGGCUGUUUCUAUUCCAUUUGGUAGCUCUUUCUAUCCUUUGGCAAUGCUGAGCCAAACAAGCAUCAACUGUCCCAUAGCCCAAAUAAACAUAUGGAGAAGUUUUGUCACUCACAGUUGAUAUUAUAUGGUAAACAACUGUCUUGGGCAUCUACGUUUUGAGCAGCAUUGCAUGAAUGGUUCUUUUUUCCCAUUGUUGUUGUUGGAACCAUAGAAUCUUAGAGUUGAAAAGGACCCAAGGGUCACCGUUGGCUGUGGUGAGGAGUGCAAGGCCUGCUCCCUUACAAAGCCUUUACCAGCUGGCCUAGGGGGCAAGGCCCAGGCCCUCACACUUCCAGCUAUAGACUCCUCUGGCAGAAACUGCCUUCUUGGCUAUUGAAGCCACUAUUGGUCUCAUCAGCUCAAUCCACCAGAGCCUGUCUUCGCGUACAGGGGAAGUCCUCCUUGACACACAAAGACACAAACACACACACCAAUUAAUCCAGUAACUUCUUUCAAUACUGCCUGCCAUUCCCAUUCUCCCCAGAUAACAACUUGCUUGCUCUGCUCAGACUGAAGUGAGGAAAAGGUGCUGAAGAAUGGACACCAUUCAGACCAUACCCUCCCAACCACACCACACAGUAGAGUUGCAGCCAACCCUCUUCCACACUACUGAAUCAGGUUGGACCUUUCUUCAGAUAUUUCAUAUUUUUGAGAGAAGGAAAAUCAGCCUGGCAGCUACAUUGUUCUGGAAUACUAACUGAAGGACAAAGCCACUUCCGACCUCAGGAGGAGGUGGUGGUGCGCGCUUCACGCCCCCAACACGCGUGCGAAGGCUGGCUUCCAGCCCCGCGCGAUCAGGGGAAUCCUUGGGCUGCGUCAUCCCAUGGCCAGCCAAUUGGCUGGCUCAGGGGGUGUGGCUUGCCUCAUUUAAGGCAAGCACAGCCCGGGAUCCCCCUCCCGCCCCAACUUCUUUGGUUUUGGCGGUUAGGCAUUGGUAGGGGUAUUGUUAUGUAGAUGUGUUGCGGGGGGGGGGGGAGCGCCAUCACCUCCCCCAAAUUUUGAAGGGUAGUCCGGUAAAGUAUUCCGGGGAGUGUGGCCUCGUCUGAAGCCUAUGGAGGUCAGGGCCUAAAGCGCCCCCCCGAGCGGUGAUCCCGGGGGAGUCCCUAGUUGAUGUGCAUCAGCAGGGCUCCCCCACUGGUGUUAACCCUUCCCGGUCUUCAAGCAAACAGGCUGAAGCCGGAUAGUCAGAUAGGACCAAUGCCUAAGCCAAUACCGCUCUUUACCUGUAACCAAUAAAGUUGUGCCCUAUUUUAGCCCAUUAACCUAAAUAUUUGUGUCACGUGUCGUUAUUCCUACUGGUGGGAGGCGGGAAAUCACCACGGAACAACCUCAUGUGGUCCAGUGCAAGAAAAUCAGGGGGUGAGGGGACCACUCAGACAUGAUAGCACUGCAAAUUACUUAUCCAUUUUAUAUAUAUAUAUAUAUAUAUAUAUAUAUGAAUGCUAAAAUAAAUGCAUAUUGAAAAAUAGCAAUACUCCAUUUUGUGUACAAUAUAUUAUUACAUUCUUGCCAACACUGUACAAAAAGCAAAUGUCAGAACAAAUCACAUGAAAGCAAAAGAGCAGAAAUUAAGUGUGUUUGGUUACAAGAAUUCCAACAUUGAAAAAGCAGACUCCAAAUGUUUUGUGUCACUGGGAUGGCGGGAAUUCUGUAUUGAUUAGCUAUGAAUGUUUGUAUGUGAUGUCAGUAAAAGGUUUGAUGAUGAUGAAAAAGCAGAUUGCCUCCUUAAAAAAUACCAUCACAGGGGACAAGGAAGGGCAGAAAAAGCCACAUCCACAAAGAUAAACAGAUACGUACCCCAAACUGACCCCAAAAGAAAUAUACAGGUACCAGCCAGGGACCUGGGCAGGGGGAGAAUUCAUGCCGCUGCCCAGGAGAAGCUGCGCGCUGCUAUCCCAUAAGCCAGGACAGCAAGCUGUGAUCCCACUUGCUGUCCUGGCUUCUGGGAUUCGGAAUAUUUUUUUUCUUGUUUUCCUCCUCCAAAACUAGGUGCGUCUUAUGGUCUGGUGUGUCUUAUAGAGCGAAAAAUACAGUACUUAAUUCGUUCCGGAGGUCGGUUCUUAACCUGAAACUGUUCUUAUCCUGAAGCACCACUUUAGCAAAUAGGGCUGCCGCGCAGCUGCCACGCGAUUCAGUCCUCAUCCUGAAGCAAAGUUCUUAACCCGGGGUACUAUUUCUGGAUCAGCGGAGUCUGUAACCUGAAGCGUCUGUAACCUGAAGCGUAUGUAACCCGAGGUACCACUGUAUACGGGUACCAGCCAUUCAACAAGAACAAUUUUGAAACUUCAGUCUCAGCACUAUAUGAGCUUGAAAUAGUUCUGCGUGAAUGAUUGGUAGAGAAAAUGUGGGCAAGGAUUUGGGAGAAAACAACAAUAAUCUUUAGAAAAGUUUCCUUUGUUGCAGGGCUGAAUGAUUACAGGUUCAUUUAUGAGAAAAUUCCCACAACCCAAUUUAUUUUCCAGUGAUUUACUAAAGAGAAAAUCAAAGUUGUUUGUAAAUGCUAAAGCAAGGC